Long non-coding RNA from Ictalurus punctatus (channel catfish), 3021 nucleotides. RefSeq lists it as uncharacterized. The transcript is spliced from 8 exons. The record is from RefSeq and is a predicted model, not a curated record. NCBI's taxonomy places the organism in Eukaryota, Metazoa, Chordata, Actinopteri, Siluriformes, Ictaluridae.
ACUGGUCAAAAUAAAAGUCCGGGGACAAAAAAAUAAUUAUAAUAAUAAUACUAAAAAUAAUACUCUGCUGAAGAAAAUCUAUCUGCCAAAAGACAAGCCGGGCUGGACAAAUUGGUAGAGAAUAUAAAAAUGAAUGGGCCCAUACACAAAAUAUACCAUCAUGUAAAGCUCAAUAGCAUUUGAAGGGAAUGACUUACAGUCACACAACCAACUGUAAAGUGUUCAUCUAGGUGUCAGAGACACAAACAUGUUCUUCUGUUCGAGGUUCGUCUGUCCAAGAUCCUAAAACAAAGCCUGUUUGAACUGCCUGAAACUGCUUCUCAUUGAGGACGAGUCUGCGGUUGUUGUCUAAUUUCCACGAUAAUUUGGCGUCUCCUGGGUGGGCUGCACGAGUCUUUUCAGCUUUUCUGGACAACAAGUAAACCGGAGGACGUGCGUGGAAAAGUUGCACCCUGAAGACCGUGUUGACAUGCAGGCUGUUUGCGCUUUAUUGUGCAGCGCGAAAGACCGAUACAGCCUUACCACUGACUGAAGGGAAGACAAAACUGUAAGUCCUACCAAAUUGCUGUAUGUGGAUUCGCCCUCACAGGUAAACUCUUUUACAUUCUUAAGGUUUGCUCUAUUGAACUUAUAAGUUAUAUGAUUAAUUGAAUGUCUAGACAUUUGGCACACAUUUUGAACCUUUUCUGUCCAUGCAUGAGAAUGCAUAUUCACUUGAUUUUCAUAGUAUGUUAAAUUGAUUAAAACUUUGAAAGUUAUAGAAGGUGUAAAAAGAUAAAUAAAUAAAAUAUGGGAAAAACAUGUAGCAAAUCACAUCCUGAGACACAUGCUAUGGUAUGUACAGGGUGCUCAUCUGUUGAUCCUAAUAUCACAAUUAUGCGUGUGAAUUAUGGGGAAGAAUGUUUGAACCAAUAUGAUGUAUGGGUUAAAGAAUGUGCUUUCCUAGAAAAAGGUAGUUUUAGUCUCAGACAGUUAGAACAACAGAAAUUUAAUUUUGAGACAAAGAGAGAGAUUUUUUUUUGAGAGAGAGAUUCUUAAAAUAAAAAAAGAGCGAAGUGCAGUUUUUAGCAGACUGGAAGGCAUUUGCUGAAUGGCAGAGUGAGGCACAUAAAAGGGAGAAAAAAUGUCAGGCAGGGCUCUCAUCUGUUUCUCAGAGUGCUAAAUUGCAGAAAGCCGAUUCUGACCUGGACUCCUCCCCACCGUGACGCCCACAGCCAAUAAGGAGGGAGGAACCUGCAGUUUCAGAGGCACCUCCUCCCAAUGAAGCCCAGCCUAUGCCACUCCAUCCGAACCUGUCAGAACUGAGCCACCAACCCCCACCGAACUAUGCUCCAGCCAUCCUAGCUUCACCGGUGGCGUUACACACGAGAUCCCAAGUGAAGGGACCAACAACAUUGCUGCCUGAGGCUUUCAGACCAACAAAAUCGGACAUAGAAGGGACAAUGCACGCCAUGGUAAAUGCCCCAAUGUUAGAAGUGGCUGGAGAAGGAGGCCCUAUGCAAGUUCACAGACUCUGGGCAUUGGAAGACAUCAGGAGCAGCAUGGCGCAUCUGUCGGCGCUCCACAAAGUAGAAGGACGAAAAUUUGGGGAUGAACUUCAAAUAUUCUGCAGAGAAUUCAGACCCACCACUCCUGAACUACGAUGACUGCUCAUGGAAAAACUUGGCACGGACUGGGUCAAGGUUUCAAGUGAAUUCCCAGAGGAUGUUGUCCGCCUGAUCAACCCACAGUGGGAUGAUGAAGUCAACACAAGGUACAGAGCACAAAUCACGGUGCUCCAGCAGAGGCUGACGAACACCUUUCCUGUAUGGUCAUGACAAAAUGGACAUGACAAAUGGACAUGACAAAAAUAGCGAUUUGUAAACAACAAGACUCAGAGACUGUAUCACAGCACCUGUCCAGGCUCACUGAGAUCCAUGACGCAAACUCAGGCUUGGAGAAACCCGACGCUCUGGCAGAUGGGCAGGCGGCCAUCACAGCAUGGGAGGCACAUCUCAGAAACAGCUUUAUGAAUGGCAUGACACCAGAAAUUGGCGCUAUAAUCAAACAACAAUGUAUCACCUGGGACACCGGAAGCCUCACCCAAGUGAAAAGUUAUGCAAUCCACACGGAGAAGCUCCUACGAGAGGCAAAGGAAAGAAACAUGGAGAGGAGAGGAAGACCAAAAGCACACAGACGAGGAAGACCCGGCCGUCAGGGCUAUGGUCCAGGAUUAAACUGUUACAACUGUGGAAAAGUUGGACAUUUUGCAAGAGACUGUCCAGAACAGAAGUGAACUGACGGGUGGAACUAAGGGAAGGGUGAGGCACCUGGGAACAUAAGAGGGAGUAACUCAUGACAUUUCUGCAAAGGGAAAGAAACUCUCAGCUGACAAAGUAUCUGCAAUCCAGAAGAUUCCCAAGACCCUGUCAAAGAAACAGGUCCUAUCUAUCCUAGGGAGACGGGGAACCACAUGACUGUGUUGUACUGACUAACGAACUCUGCUCCCCUAGAGUCGACCUGAAGGAUGUUCCAUUGGAAAACCCAGAUCUAAUCCUUUUUGUGGACGGGUCUGCGUCAUGUGAUCCAGAGACAGCUUUCAGACCUCCAAGCACGAGCUACAGACGAGGAAAAGGCCGUGUGGCGCAAAGCAGGCUGCACGGUUGUGGACGGAGUUUGGCGGUGCCCCCAGGACUGUCCUUGUCUUCAAAGCUGACGCAUGGCAGGGACCAUGCGUCAAAAGGGGGAAUGAUAGUUGCGAUAAAGCAUUGGUUUCUCUAAUUACUCUAAAUAAAAAUUGUUUACACUGUUUGCGCAACUCAUAACGUGGGUUGUGGUUUGAAUGUAGAGAAGGCCAUGUCCCUACGUCCAAACAGGACUCAGAUGCGGUAGUGAUAAUGAUAAUCUCCAGCGUCAUGCUCUGCGUUUCAUAUAUAUAGUAGUGGUUUAGUACAAGGGCUUCAGAGCGCUCUUAUUAUUCUAUCCUGCUUUAUUCUAUCCUGUAUUAACCAUCUUUCUGUAAUAAACCUUUUUUUACCUUCA